This is a non-coding RNA of Tympanuchus pallidicinctus (lesser prairie-chicken), 948 nucleotides long. Lineage: Eukaryota; Metazoa; Chordata; Aves; Galliformes; Phasianidae. The record is from the annotation of a RefSeq genome assembly.
GCCCAGACAUGCACAAAGAUGAAAUGACGGUCAGAGCAACAUCCAGUCAAAAUGUUUUGGUCUGAAAACACUCCCACCUUUUUGUCAUCAGCUCAGAUCUCUGCUUCUCUGGCAGGCGGGCCAAAGACAGACAAAUCUCACAGCCACACAAACGCUUGCUUUUGCUUUUAAUGGCUCAGCAACAACAUUUUCCGAUGUGAAACGUGUCUUCUCUGUCCUCCGCCCAAGCUGAUGGGAAAAUCUGAACAAGGCGAGGGGUAUCAGUCUCUCCAGCCUCUCUCUCCUCCCUCAUUCUCUUCUGGGACAGCUACUCCUCGUCAUGCUGACCAUUUUGCUUGCUCUUCUACCUGGCUCUGGUGUGGGACACACUGUCACACAGAGGCCAGAAUAUGCCCUCAAGAGAGCUGGAGAGAGUGUGGACCUCACCUGUUCUGGCAGGCCUGCCUACGUCCUGUGGUACCAGCAGCCUUCAAGAAAUAGUCUGAAGUUAAUAGCCAGCACUUCUCGGUGGCAUCAGAAUUCUUAUGAGGAAGGUUACAGUGAAGCCAAGUUUGAGAUCAGCAGGGACAAGAACAAUCUCUCCAUUAUGACUAUCAAGAAUGUGACAUCCAAGGAUGCUGCCACUUACUUCUGUGCUAUGAGUGAUCACACAAUGCAGCAAGAGCAUUAAGCACUUACACAAAAUCCUCACCCUGCCUGAAGGAGAGACAGAGUCUCUGUAAAACAUGAGACCGAUUGGAGAGGGGCAGGAGAAGAGCAGAGGGAAAACAAGGGCAAAGUCAGGGAAUGGAGCCUGGACUCUUGGAAGGCAAGAGGGUCUGCCAAAGCAAUGGAGCAGCAUCUAUCUUAAAGAAAAAAGGCAUUCAGAAACACAAAUGCAUAGCCUAAUAUUAAGAACUGUGGUACUGCUGGCUGACAAAAGGCACUAGACACUUCUCAGGAUUAGUG